Molecule: ribosomal RNA, 443 nt
Filed under: uncultured bacterium
Lineage: Bacteria
Description: partial 16S ribosomal RNA
Rfam family: Bacterial small subunit ribosomal RNA
Source: RNAcentral
CCUACGGGAGGCAGCAGUGGGGAAUAUUGGGCAAUGGGCGCAAGCCUGACCCAGCAACGCCGCGUGAAGGAAGAAGGCUUUCGGGUUGUAAACUUCUUUUCUCAGGGACGAAGCAAGUGACGGUACCUGCGGAAUAAGCCACGGCUAACUACGUGCAAGCAGCCGCGGUAAUACGUAGGUGGCAAGCGUUAUCCGAAUUUACUGGGUGUAAGGGGCGGGUAUGCGGGACUGCAAUUCGGAUGUGAAAACAACGGGCUCAACCGGUGGCUGGCAUUUGCAACUGUAGUUCUUGAGUACUGGAGAGGCAGACGGAAUUCCUAGGGUAGCGGUGAAAUGCGUAGAUAUUGGGAGGAACACCAGUGGCGAAGGCGGUCUGCUGGACAGCAACUGACGCUGGGGCGCGAAAGCGUGGGGAGCAAACAGGAUUAGAUACCCUAGUAGUC